AAAUUGAAGAGUUUGAUCAUGGCUCAGAUUGAACGCUGGCGGCAGGCCUAACACAUGCAAGUCGAACGGUAGCACAGAGAGCUUGCUCUCGGGUGACGAGUGGCGGACGGGUGAGUAAUGUCUGGGAAACUGCCUGAUGGAGGGGGAUAACUACUGGAAACGGUAGCUAAUACCGCAUAACGUCGCAAGACCAAAGAGGGGGACCUUCGGGCCUCUUGCCAUCAGAUGUGCCCAGAUGGGAUUAGCUAGUAGGUGGGGUAACGGCUCACCUAGGCGACGAUCCCUAGCUGGUCUGAGAGGAUGACCAGCCACACUGGAACUGAGACACGGUCCAGACUCCUACGGGAGGCAGCAGUGGGGAAUAUUGCACAAUGGGCGCAAGCCUGAUGCAGCCAUGCCGCGUGUAUGAAGAAGGCCUUCGGGUUGUAAAGUACUUUCAGCGGGGAGGAAGGUGUUGUGGUUAAUAACCGCAGCAAUUGACGUUACCCGCAGAAGAAGCACCGGCUAACUCCGUGCCAGCAGCCGCGGUAAUACGGAGGGUGCAAGCGUUAAUCGGAAUUACUGGGCGUAAAGCGCACGCAGGCGGUCUGUCAAGUCGGAUGUGAAAUCCCCGGGCUCAACCUGGG
RNAcentral lists this ribosomal RNA (626 nucleotides) under Enterobacter ludwigii. Its description in RNAcentral is "bacterial SSU rRNA". It matches the Rfam family "Bacterial small subunit ribosomal RNA", at positions 1 to 618 of the family's 1533-position model. Lineage: Bacteria; Pseudomonadati; Pseudomonadota; Gammaproteobacteria; Enterobacterales; Enterobacteriaceae. The record is from RNAcentral.